GGUUUUCCCUGGAGUGGGCUCUAGGUAGACAUUAUGGCAGAUUCUGCUGGGGCCACAGCUCAAGUCCAGGCUCACCAGGGACAGCAUCUUCAGGACUCAGAAAAGCCAGGGAGAAAGGCAAGACAGAAGUUUUCCCGGACCUGUUCGAUAGAAGGAUCUGGACGACCUCACCUGGCAGAUGAGUGACGGGCAUCCGAGCCACAUCUUUCCCUAUUCUCUGAGGCCUAUGACUUCUCUUUCCCUCUCCUCAGCAGCCCUCUACUUUGAGUUCAUUGUGAAGGCCACCCCUUCUGGUGGGGGAAAGAGCACAGACCAGCAGCCGAGUAAUUCUGUUUUCCAUGUCAUCUGUUAACAUGGCGCACCAUCUGUCAGGUCUACCGACUCUCAGCCUCCCACCCUCUCCCAGAGGCCAGAUUGGGGGAGGAGGCCAUCUCCCAGAGUCUUGGAGACCCUUCCACUCAAAGGCCUCAGAACACUCACAGAAAGAGCAGGACUACAAGAUGAAGAAGAUGAGUUCCUGGGCUGAAAAGAUGGCUCAGUCACCAAAAUGUCUGCCAUAAAGGUGUGAGGGCCUGAGUCUAUCUUCCUCAAAGCCAGAGUGGUGCCUGCAAGAUGGCUCCAUGGGUAAAGGUGCUUGCAAAAGUCUGGUGAACUGGGCUGGAUCUCCAGAAUCCACAUACAGAUGGAAGGAGAGAACUUCUAAUCUCCACAUACACACUGAGGCAUGUCCACAACAAAGAAUCAAAUGAAUACAUGUGAAGAAAGAA
Long non-coding RNA from Grammomys surdaster, 767 nucleotides. RefSeq lists it as uncharacterized. NCBI's taxonomy places the organism in Eukaryota, Metazoa, Chordata, Mammalia, Rodentia, Muridae. The record is from RefSeq and is a predicted model, not a curated record. The transcript is spliced from 4 exons.